UACAGAGGUCCCAAGCGUUGUUCGGAUUCACUGGGCGUAAAGGGUGCGUAGGCGGUCGGGUAAGUCUGAUGUGAAAUCUCACAGCUUAACUGUGAAACUGCAUUGGAUACUAUCCGGCUCGAGGAAUGGAGGGGAGACUGGAAUACUUGGUGUAGCAGUGAAAUGUGUAGAUAUCAAGUGGAACACCAGUGGCGAAGGCGAGUCUCUGGACAUUUCCUGACGCUGAGGCACGAAAGCCAGGGGAGCAAACGGG
This 253-nucleotide ribosomal RNA is filed under the name uncultured bacterium. Its description in RNAcentral is "partial 16S ribosomal RNA". It matches the Rfam family "Bacterial small subunit ribosomal RNA", at positions 524 to 776 of the family's 1533-position model. The record is from RNAcentral.